Molecule: long non-coding RNA, 495 nt
Filed under: Equus caballus (horse)
Lineage: Eukaryota; Metazoa; Chordata; Mammalia; Perissodactyla; Equidae
Description: lncRNA (ENSECAG00000045993.1)
Source: RNAcentral
AAUUCAAACAAGUUGUUGCAUGAAUCAAUUGUUCAUUUUUACUGCUGAGUAGUAAAUGCCCUUAUUGUACGGAUAUGUACCACAUUUUGUUUAUCCAUUAAUCUUUUGAUGGGCAUUUGGAUUAUUUCCAACUUUUGCCUAUUACAAAUGAAGCUGCUGCGAACAUUCAUGACAAGUCUUUGGAUGGACACAUGCUUUCAUUUCUCUCAGCCCCCCGGUACAUAUAGUUGUGUAUUCUUCGUUGUGGGUUCCUCUAGCUGUGGCAUGUGGGACGCCGCCUCAGCGUGGUCUGACGAGCAGUGCCAUGUCCGCGCCCAGGAUUCGAACCGACGAAACACUGGGCCGCCUGCAGCGGAGCGCGCGAACUUAACCACUCGGCCACGGGGCCAGACCCUAAACUUGCCAAUUUCUACCAAAAAAAAAGCCUACUGAGAUUUUUUUACUGGGAUUGAAUUAAAUCUAUAGAUUAAAAUUGGAGAAUGGACAGUUUAAUAA